RNAcentral lists this transfer RNA (73 nucleotides) under Microscilla marina ATCC 23134. It matches the Rfam family "tRNA". From Rfam's summary of the family: Transfer RNA (tRNA) molecules are approximately 80 nucleotides in length. Lineage: Bacteria; Pseudomonadati; Bacteroidota; Cytophagia; Cytophagales; Microscillaceae. The record is from Rfam by way of RNAcentral.
AGAAGGUUGGUGUAACUGGAAACACAUUCGCCUGCCAAGCGAAAAAUUGCAGGUUCGAGUCCUGUGCCUUCUU